RNAcentral lists this transfer RNA (53 nucleotides) under Paraleucobryum longifolium. RNAcentral's name for it is "partial tRNA-Leu". RNAcentral also lists the same sequence under 4 other names. Lineage: Eukaryota; Viridiplantae; Streptophyta; Bryopsida; Dicranales; Dicranaceae. The record is from RNAcentral.
AAAAAAAUCCGUUGGCUUUAUUGACCGUGAGGGUUCAAGUCCCUCUACCCCCA